RNAcentral lists this ribosomal RNA (253 nucleotides) under uncultured bacterium. RNAcentral describes it as "partial 16S ribosomal RNA". It matches the Rfam family "Bacterial small subunit ribosomal RNA", at positions 524 to 776 of the family's 1533-position model. The record is from RNAcentral.
UACAGGGGGUGCAACCGUUGCUCGGAAUUAUUGGGCGUAAAGCGCGCGUAGGCGGCCGCUUAAGUCGGAUGUGAAAGCCCCUGGCUCAACUGGGGAAGUGCACCCGAAACUGAGUGGCUUGAGUACUAAAGAGGGUCGCGGAAUUCCCGGUGUAGAGGUGAAAUUCGUAGAUAUCGGGAGGAACACCGGUGGCGAAGGCGGCGACCUGGGUAGAUACUGACGCUGAGGCGCGAAAGCGUGGGGAGCAAACAGG